Molecule: long non-coding RNA, 2420 nt
Organism: Mytilus californianus (California mussel)
Lineage: Eukaryota; Metazoa; Mollusca; Bivalvia; Mytilida; Mytilidae
Exons: 3
Source: RefSeq, a predicted model, not a curated record
AGACACAUUGGUUUUCGCACACUAACUUUAGUUUAAGUGAAUGGAUCUCUAUGAAAUUUUACCACAAGGUUCAAUACCACAAAAGGAAGGUUGGGAUUGAUUUUGGGGGUUAUGGUACCAACAGUGAAGGAAUUAGGGGCCAAAAAGGGGCCAAAAAUAAGCAUUUUUGUAACUUCCAGACAUAACUUGUGUGUUAGUGUAUGGAUCUCUCUGACAUUGUACCACAAGGUUCCAUAUCACAAAAGGAAUGCUGGGAUUGAUUUCGGGGGUAAUUGCCUCAAAAUUGUAGGAAUUAGGGGCCAAAAAAGGGGCAAAAAACAAGCAUUUUUCUAGUUUCAUGACAAUAACUUGUGUGUAAGUGUAUGGAUCUUUCUGAAAUUGUACUACAAGGUUCCAUAUCACAAAGGGAAAGCUGGAAUUGAGUUUGGGGGUAAUUGCCAAAACGUUUAGGAAUUGGGGGCCAAAAAGGGGCCAAAAAUAAGCAUUUUUCUAGUUUCCAGACAAUAACUUGUGUUCAAGUGUAUGGAUCUCUCUGAAAUUGUUCUGCAAGGUACCAUACCACAAAGGGAAGGCUGGGAUUGAUGAUGGGGGUAAUUGCCUCAAUAUUUUAGGAAUAAGGGGCCAAAAAGGGGCAAAAAACAAGCAUUUUUCUAGUUUCAGGACAAUAACUUGUGUGUAACAUGUGUAAGUGUAUGGAUCUUUCUGAAAUUGUACUACAAGGUUCCAUAUCACAAAGGGAAAGCUGGAAUUGAGUUUGGGGGUAAUUGCUCAAAACGUUUAGGAAUAAGGGGCCAAAAAGGGGCCAAAAAAAGCAUUUUUCUAGUUUCAUGACAAUAACUUGUGUUCAAGUGUAUGGAUCUCUCUGAAAUUGUACUGCAAGGUACCAUACCUCAAAGGGAAGGCUAGGAUUGAUUUUGGGGGAAAUUGCCUCAAAAUUUUAGGAAUUAGGGGCCAAAAAGGGGCAAAAAACAAGCAUUUUUCUAGUUUCAGGACAAUAACUUGUGUGUAAGUGUAUGGAUCUUUAUGAAAUUGUACUACAAGGUUCCAUAUCACAAAAGGGAAGCUGGGUUUGAGUUUGGGGGUAAUUGCCCUAAACGUUUAGGAAUUUGGGGCCAAAAAAGGGCCUAAAAACAAGCAUUUUUCUAGUUUCCGGACAAUAACUUGUGUUCAAGUGUAUGGAUCUCUCUGAAAUUGUACUGCAAGGUACCAUACCACAAAGGGAAGGCUGGGAUUGAGUUUGGGGGUAAUUGCCUCAAAAUUUUAGGAAUUAGGGGCCAAAAAGUGGCAAAAAACAAGCAUUUUUCUAGUUUCAGAACAAUAACUUGUGUGUAAGUGUAUGGAUCUUUAUGAAAUUGUACUACAAGGUUCCAUAUCACAAAAGGAAAGGUGGGUUUGAGUUUUGGGGUAAUUGCCCUAACUGUUUAGGAAUUUGGGGCCAAAAAGGGGCAUUAAAACAAGCAUUUUUCUAGUUUCCAGACAAUAACUUGUGUUCAAGUGUAUGGAUCUCUCUGAAAUUGCACUGCAAGGUACCUUACCACAAAGGGAAGGCUGGGAUUGAGUUUGGGGGUAAUUGCCUCAAAAUGUUAGGAAUUAGGGGCAAAAAACAAGCAUUUUUCUAGUUUCAGGACAAUAACUUGUGUGUAAGUGUAUGGAUCUUUAUGAAAUUGUACUACAAGGUUCCAUAUCACAAAGGGAAAGCUGGAAUUGAGUUUGGGGGUAAUUGCCUAAAAAUUUAGGAAUAAGGGGCCAAAAAGGGGCCAAAAAUAGCAUUUUUCUAGUUUCCAGACAAUAACUUGUGUUCAAGUGUAUGGAUCUCUCUGAAAUUGUACUGCAAGGUACCAUACCACAAAGGGAAGGCUGGGAUUGAUUUUGGGGGUAAUUGCCUCGAAAUUUUGGAAUUAGGGGCCAAAAAGGGGCAAAAAACAAGCAUUUUUCUAGUUUCAGGACAAUAACUUGUGUGUUAGUGUAUGGAUCUUUAUGAAAUUGUACUACAAGGUUCCAUAUCACAAAAGGGAAGCUGGGUUUGAGUUUGGGGGUAAUUGCCCUAAACGUUUAGGAAUUUGGGGCCAAAAAAGGGCCUAAAAACAAGCAUUUUUCUAGUUUCCGGACAAUAACUUGUGUUCAAGUGUAUGGAUCUCUCUGAAAUUGUACUGCAAGGUACCAUACCACAAAGGGAAGGCUGGGAUUGAGUUUGGGGGUAAUUGCCUCAAAAUUUUAGGAAUUAGGGGCAAAAAAGGGGCAAAAAACAAGCAUUUUUCUAGUUUCAGGACAAUAACUUGUGUGUAAGUGUAUGGAUCUUUAUGAAAUUGUACUACAAGGUUCCAUAUCACAAAAGGAAAGCUGGGUUUGAGUUUGGGGGUAAUUGCCCAAUACGUUUAGGAAUUUGGGGACAAAAAGUGGCCUAAAAACAAGCAUUUUUC